UCCGGAUAGAGGAGAAAAAGACUGCCCUGGU
This 31-nucleotide non-coding RNA is filed under the name Mus musculus (house mouse). The record is from RNAcentral. Lineage: Eukaryota; Metazoa; Chordata; Mammalia; Rodentia; Muridae.